Molecule: long non-coding RNA, 132 nt
Organism: Thalassophryne amazonica
Lineage: Eukaryota; Metazoa; Chordata; Actinopteri; Batrachoidiformes; Batrachoididae
Exons: 3
Source: RefSeq, a predicted model, not a curated record
ACCCCAUCCCCUUUAGCUCUGCCAAAAAUUAAAUGGCUAUGUUACAACUUGCCAGCCAAAAGCUUAACUCUUUGGGGUCCAGGGUAUAAUUGGCCAUUUUUGACUACUUUUGGUUUUGCCUUCAUAAUUUAC